CUACGUGCCAGCAGCCGCGGUAAUACGGAAGGUCCAGGCGUUAUCCGGAUUUAUUGGGUUUAAAGGGAGCGUAGGCCGUUUGAUAAGCGUGCUGUGAAAUUUAGAGGCUCAACCUCUACCGUGCAGCGCGAACUGUCAGACUUGAGUGCGUAGUAGGUAGGCGGAAUUCGUGGUGUAGCGGUGAAAUGCUUAGAUAUCACGAAGAACUCCGAUUGCGAAGGCAGCUUACCGUAUCGCAACUGACGCUGAUGCUCGAAGGUGCGGGUAUCGAACAGGAUUAGAUACCCUGGUAGUCCGCACAGUAAACGAUGGAUGCUCGCUGUUGGCCAUUUUGGUCAGUGGCUUAGCGAAAGCGUUAAGCAUCCCACCUGGGGAGUACGCCGGCAACGGUGAAACUCAAAGGAAUUGACGGGGGCCCGCACAAGCGGAGGAACAUGUGGUUUAAUUCGAAGCAACGCGAAGAACCUUACCAGGUCUUGACAUCCCUCUGACCGCUCUAGAGAUAGAGUUUUC
This 513-nucleotide ribosomal RNA is filed under the name uncultured bacterium. RNAcentral's name for it is "bacterial SSU rRNA". It matches the Rfam family "Bacterial small subunit ribosomal RNA", at positions 501 to 1016 of the family's 1533-position model. The record is from RNAcentral.